Molecule: long non-coding RNA, 686 nt
Filed under: Monodelphis domestica (gray short-tailed opossum)
Lineage: Eukaryota; Metazoa; Chordata; Mammalia; Didelphimorphia; Didelphidae
Description: lncRNA (ENSMODG00000036213.2)
Source: RNAcentral
AAGAGGAAGAAGAAUUGACUUAAUAUAAUAAAGACUUUCUAAAGAUUAGCACUUUUCUGAACACAGAAAUAGGAACCUCUUUAUCACUAGAAGUGUUCAAGACAAAACUGAAUAGCUCCCUGAAAAUUAAGUAUCCAACUUGCAUUUAUUAAGUAUUUUUGAUGGGCUAGGCAUUAUCUUAGGUAUUAUUAUACAAAUGAACAAUGAUACAAUGAGGUUAAUUCUGUAGAUGAAGACAUCAGGUAUGCAUAUCAGUAUAUACAAAUAUUUAUAUAAGGUAAUUUUUAAAGGGAAGCACUAGAAGUUGAAGUGAACCACAAAGGCCUCAUGGAGUUGGUGUAUGCACUUUAAAUUGGAAGAAGAGUUAGAGAUUCUAAGAGGCAAAGGGAAGGAGUGAAUAUAUUCCAGAUUUGGAGGGCAACCUACAAAAAAGAAUGGAACAGCAGGAAAAACAAUUUCAUAGGAUGGUACCAUGAAUGUAGAGGAAUAAUAGGGCCAAGCUGUCAGAAUGAGAUCCCUGGAGGUGGUCUAGAGGGCUGGCAAAGGGAUAUUUGGCUGGGAGCCUGUCACCAGCUUUGCAAACAACUAGAAACUAAAGGGAUGCCUAUCAAUUGGGAAAUGGCCAAAUAAGUUGUGGUAUGUGUUUAGAAUGGUAUACUAAUUUGCCAUAAGAAAUAACAAACAAG